Molecule: transfer RNA, 72 nt
Filed under: Candidatus Woesearchaeota archaeon
Lineage: Archaea; Nanobdellati; Candidatus Woesearchaeota
Description: tRNA-Thr
Rfam family: tRNA
About the family: Transfer RNA (tRNA) molecules are approximately 80 nucleotides in length.
Source: RNAcentral
GCCUUCGUAGCUCAGUGGUAGAGCGGCUGCCUCGUAAGCAGCAGGUCGGGGGUUCAAAUCCCUCCGAAGGCU